AUUGAACGCUGGCGGCAUGCCUUACACAUGCAAGUCGAACGGCAGCACGGGAGCAAUCCUGGUGGCGAGUAGCGAACGGGUGAGUAAAGUAUCGGAACGUGCCCAGUCGUGGGGGAUAACGUAGCGAAAGUUACGCUAAUACCGCAUACGAUCUAUGGAUGAAAGCGGGGGAUCGCAAGACCUCGCGCGAUUGGAGCGGCCGAUAUCAGAGUAGGUAGUUGGUGGGGUAAAGGCUCACCAAGCCGACGAUCUGUAGCUGGUCUGAGGGGACGACCAGCCACACUUGGACUGAGAACCGGCCCAGACCCCGACGGGGAGCAGAAGGGGGGAAUUUUGGAAAAUGGGGGCAAGCCUGAGCCAUCCAUGCCGCGUGCAGGAUGAAGGGCUUCGGGUUGUAAACUUCUUUUAUAAGGGACGAAAAAAGGCUUUUCUAAGUCGUCUGACGGUACCUUAUGAAUAAGCACCGGCUAACUCCGUGCCAGCAGCCGCAGUAA
This 494-nucleotide ribosomal RNA is filed under the name uncultured bacterium. Its description in RNAcentral is "partial 16S ribosomal RNA". It matches the Rfam family "Bacterial small subunit ribosomal RNA", at positions 30 to 523 of the family's 1533-position model. The record is from RNAcentral.